GGUAGGAGAGUGAAACGGAUUCCACGCCGGUCUCAUAAGCCGGAAACAGCAGGUUCGACUCCUGCUCCUGCCC
Molecule: transfer RNA, 73 nt
Filed under: bacterium
Lineage: Bacteria
Also listed under: 1 other name
Description: tRNA-Met
Rfam family: tRNA
About the family: Transfer RNA (tRNA) molecules are approximately 80 nucleotides in length. Their secondary structure includes four short double-helical elements and three loops (D, anti-codon, and T loops).
Source: RNAcentral